This 460-nucleotide ribosomal RNA is filed under the name uncultured bacterium. RNAcentral describes it as "partial 16S ribosomal RNA". It matches the Rfam family "Bacterial small subunit ribosomal RNA", at positions 339 to 795 of the family's 1533-position model. The record is from RNAcentral.
CUACGGGAUGCUCCAGUGAGGAAUAUUGGACAAUGGUCGAAAGACUGAUCCAGCCAUGCCGCGUGCAGGAUGACUGCCCUAUGGGUUGUAAACUGCUUUUAUACGGGAAGAAAAACACCUACGUGUAGGUGACUGACGGUACCGUAAGAAUAAGGACCGGCUAGACUCCGUGCCAGCAGCCGCGGUAAUACGGAGGGUCCAAGCGUUAUCCGGAAUCAUUGGGUUUAAAGGGUCCGUAGGCGGACUAUUAAGUCAGAGGUGAAAGUUUGCAGCUCAACUGUAAAAUUGCCUUUGAUACUGAUAGUCUUGUAUUGUAGUGAAGUGGUUAGAAUAUGUGGUGUAGCGGUGAAAUGCAUAGAUAUCACAUAGAAUACCGAUUGCGAAGGCAGAUCACUAACUAUAUAUUGACGCUGGGGGACGAAAGCGUGGGGAGCGAACGGGAUUAGAUACCCUAGUAGUC